GUCCUUUUGAAAAUAAUUUAAGGUCUAACCUGCCCACUGAUUAAUUAAAUGGCCGCGGUAUUUUGACCGUGCAAAGGUAGCAUAAUCAUUAGUUUUUUAAUUGAAAACUGGAAUGAAUGGUUGAAUAAAAAAGAUUCUGUCUCAAUUUAAAUUAAUUAUAAUUUUAUCUUUAAGUUAAAAAGCUUAAAUUUUGUUUAAAGACGAGAAGACCCUAUAGAGUUUUAUAAAUUUAUUUUAUAAUUAUUUAAGAUUUAAUUUUUUUUAUAAGUAUAAAUUUAUUUAGUUGGGGUGACUUAAAAAUUUAAUAAACUUUUUAAUUAAUUACAUUAAUUUAUGAUUUGUUGAUCCAUUUUUUAUGAUUAUAAGAUAAAAUUACCUUAGGGAUAACAGCGUUAUUUUUUUUGAGAGUUCUUAUUGAUAAAAAAGAUUGCGACCUCGAUGUUGGAUUAAAAUAAAUAUUUGGUGAAGAAGCUAAAUUAUUAAGUCUGUUCGACUUUUAAAAUUUUACA
Molecule: ribosomal RNA, 509 nt
Filed under: Stephostethus lardarius
Lineage: Eukaryota; Metazoa; Arthropoda; Insecta; Coleoptera; Latridiidae
Description: partial 16S ribosomal RNA
Rfam family: Bacterial large subunit ribosomal RNA
Source: RNAcentral